This 253-nucleotide ribosomal RNA is filed under the name uncultured bacterium. RNAcentral describes it as "partial 16S ribosomal RNA". It matches the Rfam family "Bacterial small subunit ribosomal RNA", at positions 524 to 776 of the family's 1533-position model. The record is from RNAcentral.
UACGGAGGAGGCAAGCGUUAUCCGGAAUUAUUGGGCGUAAAGCGUCCGUAGGUGGUUGGCCAAGUCUGCUGUCAAAGGGUGGGGCUUAACCUCAUAAAGGCAGUGGAAACUGGCGAGCUAGAGUGCGGUAGGGGUAGGGGGAAUUCCCAGUGUAGCGGUGAAAUGCGUAGAGAUUGGGAAGAACAUCGGUGGCGAAAGCGCCCUGCUGGGCCUGCACUGACACUGAGUUACGAAAGCUAGGGGAGCUAAAGGG